This is an RNA transcript of Lethenteron reissneri (Far Eastern brook lamprey), 7205 nucleotides long. RefSeq lists it as uncharacterized. NCBI's taxonomy places the organism in Eukaryota, Metazoa, Chordata, Hyperoartia, Petromyzontiformes, Petromyzontidae. The record is from RefSeq and is a predicted model, not a curated record.
GGGAGCAAGGCGAGACCGCCGCACUCACUUCCUCAAUCACAACCAAAUGCACAGAAGUCUGCGGAGAAUGCUUCAAAGGAAGAUCUUGCUUAAAGAUAUGCCUCGUCCGACUGUAUCCCAAAGAACAUCCUGAAAGGGCAGAGUUCUUUGAUCAGCUGAGCGUAGGUGGGAAUUCCUUUCCAUACACGCUUAGAACAUGCUCAGGACUGAUGGAGACAGCGGGAAGAAGAGCGAGCAGGCCUCAUGGUGGAAACCAUGGAUAGCACCAUGAAGCUAUCCCUUCCUACGGUGACAGAAUGCAAUGCGAUACCGGACGACAGGAGUGAGAUUCCCACGCCCGAAGUCGCACGUCACCACCCACACCUCAAACCUAUAGCAGAGUUCAUCCCGCCAUUGGAUCACGUGGCACAGAUUUUACUUCUGCUUGGCAGGGACAUGCUGAGAGUCCACAAAGUUCGUGAUCAACGCAACGGACCUCACGACGCUCCCUUCGCCCAGAGACUCGACCUAGGAUGGGUCAUUGUAGGUGAUGUUUGUAUCGAUGGAACACACACACCAGACCACAUUAGCACAUUCAGAACGAGUGUGCUCAUGAAUGGACGCAUGUCGCUCUUCAAACCGUGCCUCAACCACUGCACGCUGAAAGAGAAAUUCGACGAUAGAAGUCAAGGCUGUACCAGGCAGGCCGACGAAGAAACCUCUAUGCUGAAAGAUGAUGUUGGACAUACGGUGUUCGUGACCACGAAGGACGAUGACAAACCUGCUUCAUCACUAGAGGAUAAAGAAUUCUUGAAAAUAAUGGACAGAAAGUUCUUCCAAGAUGAGUCAAACAGUUGGGUUGCCCCUCUGCCAUUUCGUAAUCCCAGAUGCCGGUUACCCAAAAAUAGAGAGCAAGCCCUCUCACGGCUCAACUCAUUGCGCCGCAACUUGGACAACAAACAGAGAUGAAGAAUCAUUUUGUGUCCUUCAUGAAAAAUACAUUUGAUAGUGGUCACGCUGAAGCAGCCUCUCCUCUAGAAGAAGAACAGGAAUGUUGGUACUUACCAAUCUUUGGCGUGUAUCACCCAACAAAGCCGGAUCAGAUCAGAGUGGUGUUCGAUUCCAGUGCUCAAUUUAAGGGCAUUCCUUGAACAAGGUAAUGCUCCCCGGACCGGACUUGACCAACAGUCUCCUAGGGUUACUCACCCGUUUCAGAAAGGAGUCAAUCGCCGUAACAGCCGACAUUCAACAAAUGUUCCACUGUUUCAUUGUCCGAGAAGACGACAGAAAUUACCUCAGGUUUCUUUGGUACCACAAUAACAAUGUCGAUGAUCGAAUUGUUGAAUACAGAAUGAAGGUGCAUGUCUUCGGCAACAACCCAUCCCCAGCGGUAGCCACCUGUGGACUUAGGAGGACCGCGCAGGCAGGAGAAGGGGAAUUUGGGAAAGGCUCCAAGCGAUUUGUAGAGCGAGAUUUCUACGUUGACGAUGCACUUAAAUCAAUGCCCACGGCCUCAGAAGCCAUCGAUCUGCUCCAAAGGACGCAAGGAAUGUUAGCAACUGCUAACCUGAGACUUCACAAGAUAGCGUCCAGCAGCGCAGAAGUGAUAAAAGCGUUUCCUUCAGACGAUCGUUCAAAAGACUUGAAAGACUUGGACCUUAACGUCGACACACCACCAAUCCAACGCAGCCUUGUCCUGAGUUGGGACCUGAAAGCGGAUACGUUCACGUUCCGAGUAUCAAUUUGAGAGAAACCUUACACGCGACAUAGCAUCUUGUCGAUGGUAAACAGCCUGUACGGUCCACUAGGAUUUGUAGCGCCAGUCACCAUGCAAGGCCGUUGGAUACUUAGAUACCUUUGUGCUGAUACACAAGACUGGGAUAGCCCGUUUACGGAAGAACGGCGACAAGAAUGGGAAACUUGGAGAAAUUCCUUACAGGCACUUGAGCAGCUGCAGAUUCCACAUUCCUACACGCCCACAUCCCUUUCCGUAACCCAACGGAAGGAGUUACACGUGUUUGCAGAUGCUUCUAUGAUGGCCGUAGCAGCUGUAGCUUACCUAAAAACCACAAGCGCAGAAGGGAUCCAACAUGUUGGGUUCAUAUUGGGCAAAGCCAAACUGGCCCCACAACCGGAACAUACCAUCCCAAGGCUCGAGUUGUGUGGAGCCGUUCUUGCUACAGAGGUGGCAGAACUGAUCUUAGACGAAUUGGACGUCAAACUGGACGCGGUCAAGUUCUACACGGACAGUAAGGUCGUACUAGGCUACAUAAACAACCAAACCAGAAGGUUCUACACCGACAUCAGCAACCGGGUGGAGCGCAUCAGGAGAUCGACGCAGCCGGAGCAAUGAAUUACGGUCCAACUGACCAGAAUCGAGCAGAUCUCGCAACUAGGUCCGUCCCUGCAUCUCUGCUGAAGCAAACCAUUUGGCUGACGGGUCCAGCGUUCCUCUUACGACGUGACGGUGGCCCAUGUACUACCAAAGAAACCUUUGGACUGAUAGAGUCCGAGUCAGACAAGGAGAUUCGUGCUCAAGUGACAACUUUCGUAACAAAUGUGCGACCAAGAAGUCCACUGAGUCCACACCAUUUUGAACAUUUCUCGAAAUGGAUGACGCUCAUGCGAGAGAUAGCACAUCUAACGCAUAUCGCAGACUGCUUCCAUCGCCCGAUGAGAGGCACCACUGGUAGCUGCAAUGGAUGGCAUCACUGCACAGUGCCACGCACUGAAGACGAGCUUUCCAGAGCAAGGGAAUCAAUCUUCCGCUGUGUGCAACAGGCAGCUUAUGCAAAUGAGAUCAAGGCCAUCAACAAGGGAGAAGACCUUCCUAGGGUCAGCACCCUCAGGAAGCUAAACCUCAGAAUGGACAAAGACGACUUGCUCAGGAUCGGUGGUCGGCUAGGGAAUGCAAAAUUAUAUGAAAAUGAACGAAACCCCCUCAUAAUCCCAAGCCAGAGCCACAUUGCAAUUUUACUUGUGCGCCACUACCACGAGAAGGUCAAGCACCAAGGUCGGCACUUCACAGAAGGAGCAAUCCGAUCUGCAGGGCUGUGGAUCGUUGCAGCAAAAAGGUGCAUCACCAGCACAAUCCCCACGUGUAUCAGGUGUCGCAAGCUAUGUGGAAAAGAUGAAGAACAGAAAAUGGCAGACCUUCCAGCCAAUCAACUCAGUGUGGAACCUCCCUUCAUCUCUGUAGGGAUCGACGUGUUCGGAUCAUGGACAGUCAUCUCCCGCCGCACCAGAGGAGAGCUCGCGAACAGCAAACGUUGGGCAGUGCUGUUCACCUGUAUGAGUACACGAGCAGUGCACAUCGAAGUCAUCAAGUCCAUGAACUCUUCGAACUUUAUAAAUCCACUCCGGAGAUUCUUCGCCAUCAGAGGGCCAGCCAAGCAACUCCGUUCUGAUUGUGGAACCAGUUUCGCUGGAGCAUGUAAAGAGCUUAAGAUCAAUAUGGAGAAUGUCGAAGAUGAUUCUGUCAGGAAAUACCUUUGUAACCAAGGCUGCACAUGAAUCUUCAAUCGUCCCCACUCUUCGCAUAUGGGUGGAGCCUGGGAAUGCAUGAUCGGGAUUGCUCGACGCAUUCUCGACUUCAUGCUAUGUGAUGUCAGGUCCACACGGCUCUCUCACGAGGUCUUGACCACUCUCAUGGCCGAGGUCUCAGCCAUAAUUAAUUCAAGACCCCUGAUCCCCGUUUCAACCGACCCGGAGUCACCAUUCAUCUUGACUCCUGCUACACUUCUUACCCAGAAGACAGACGUGCUCACAGCACCUACCGAGGAGGCCAGCACUGCAGACCUCUACAGACAUCAAAGGAGACAAGUGCAGAGCUUCGCGAACACGUUCUGGCGUCGCUGGAAAAACGAGUACCUUACGACACUCCAAGUGCGCAGCAAGUGCUAGUCUAACAGACCAGACAUCCAAGAAGGUGACCUCGUCCUACUGAAGGACAACCAAGCCAAACCGAAUGAGUGGCCAAUGGGCCGCAUCCUCAAGUCGAUUCCAAGCGCCGAUGGAAAAGUUAGAAAAGUCGAGGUUAUGAUUGCGAAGCAAGGUGUUGCAAGAACUUUCGUCAGGACCAUAGUGGAGACAGUACUACUUGUCUCUCGCAAAGAUAUGGACAAAUAAGUUGACCCGUUGAAGUUGUUAUCCAUUUGUUUAUGAGAUAGGAAAUAAAUGGUGGUAUCUCCUAGAUACCAGACGGGGAGUGCUCUGCCUCACGGCAGGUGUCUUGCCUCACGGCAGAUGUGGGGCAUAUGUACACAGGAAUUUCCUGUUUUUGAUGCUAAGUUUGGUCACGUGACCAGGAAGUUGCGAUUUAAGAUUCCCGCUCAACCACGCGGGCGUCGGCCAUUACACACAUAAUUCAAGAUGGCGGCACACAUCGCGUCCCAGUGAAGCCAGCUGCAAUUGUCCAUUGUGGGACUUUAAGAAGCAUUCUCUUUUUACCUCGUUAAAUUCAAUAAAUGACGUUUGGAGUCAGACGUUCAUCCUGGCUCUGAGGGUUUAUUGGACGCGAAGUUAACUACUCAGCUGGCGGUCCAGCAUGUUGGGUUCAUAUUGAGCAACGCCAAACUGGCCCCACAACCGGAACAUACCAUCCCAAGGCUCGAGCUGUGUGGAGCCGUUCUUGCUACAGAGGUGGCGGAACUGAUCUUAGACGAUUUGGACGUCAAACUGGACGCGGUCAAGUUCUACAUGUACAGUAAGGUCGUACUAGGCUACAUAAACAACCUAACCAGAAGGUUCUACAUCGACAUCAGCAACCGGUGAAGCGCAUCAGGAGAUCGACGCAGCCGGAGCAAUGGAAUUACGUUCCAACUGACCAGAAUCCAGCAGAUCUCGCAACUAGGAUCGUCCCUGCAUCUCUGCUGAAGCAAACCAUCUGGCUGACGGGUCCAGCGUUCCUCUUACGACAUGACGGUGGCCCAUGUACUACCAAAGAGAACUUUGGACUCAUAGAGUCCGAGUCAGACAAGGAGAUUCGUCCUCAAGUGACAACUUUCGUAACACUGUGCGACCAAGAAGUCCACUGAGUCCACACUAUUUUGAACAUUUCUCGAAAUGGACGACGCUCGUGCGAGCGAUAGCACAUCUAACGCAUAUCGCAGACUGCUUCCAUCGCCCGAUGAGAGGCACCACUGGUAGCUGCAAUGGAUGGCAUCACUGCACAGUGCCACGCACUGAAGACGAGCUUUCCAGAGCAAGGAAAUCAAUCUUCUGCUGUGUGCAACAGGCAGCUUAUGCAAUUGAGAUCAAGGCCAUCAACAAGGGAGAAGACCUUCCUAGGGUCAUCACCCUCAGGAAGCUAAACCCCAGAAUGGACAAAGACGACUUGCUCAGGAUCGGUGGUCGGCUAGAGAAUGCAAAAUUAAAUGAAAAUGAACGAAACCCCCUCAUAAUCCCAAGCCAGAGCCACAUUGCAAUUUUACUUGUGCGCCACUACCACGAGAAGGUCAAGCACCAAGGUCGGCACUUCACAGAAGGAGCAAUCCGAUCUGCAGGGCAGUGGAUCGUUGCAGCAAAAAGGUGCAUCACCAGCACAAUCACCACGUGUAUCAGGUGUCGCAAGCUAUGUGGAAAAGAGGAAAAACAGAAAACGGCAGACCUCCCAGCCGAUCAACUCAGUGUGGAACCUCCCUUCAUCUCUGUAGGGAUCGACGUGUUCGGACCAUGGACAGUCAUCUCCCGCCGCACCAGAGGAGAGCUCGCGAACAGCAAACGUUGGGCAGUGCUGUUCACCUCUAUGAGUACACGAGCAGUGCACAUCGAAGUCAUCGAGUCCAAGGACUCUUCGAACUUUAUAAAUGCAUUCCGGAGAUUCUUCGCCAUCAGAGGGCCAGCCAAGCAACUCCGUUCUGAUUGUGGAACCAAUUUCGCUGGAGCAUGUAAAGAGCUUAAGAUCAAUACGGAGAAUGUCAAUGAUGAUUCUGUCAGGAAAUACCUUUGUGACCAAGGCUGCACAUGAAUCUUCAAUCGUCUCCACUCUUCGCAUAUGGGUGGAGCCUGGGAACGCAUGAUCGGGAUUGCUCGACGCAUUCUUAACUUCAUGCUAUGUGAUGUCGGGUCCACACGGCUCUCUCACGAGGUCUUGACCACUAUCAUGACCGAGGUCUCAGCCAUAUUUUAUUCAAGACCCCUGAUCCCUGUCUCAACCGACCCGGAGUCACCCUUCAUCUUGACUCCUGCUACACUUCUUACCCAGAAGACAGACGUGCUCACAGCACCUACCGAGGAGGCCAGCACUGCAGACCUCUACAGACGUCAAAGGAGACAAGUGCAGAGCUUCGCGAACACGUUCUGGCGUCGCUGGAAAAACGAGUACCUUACGACACUCCAAGUGCGCAGCAAGUGCCAGUCUAACAGACCAGACAUCCAAGAAGGUGAAGUUGUUAUCCAUUUGUUUAUGAGAUAGGAAAUAAAUGGUGGUAUCUCCUAGAUACCAGACGGGGAGUGCUCUGCCUCACGGCAGGUGUCUUGCCUCACGGCAGAUGUGGGGCAUAUGUACACAGGAAUUUCCUGUUUUUGAUGCUAAGUUUGGUCACGUGAUCAGGAAGUUGUGAUUUAAGAUUCCCGCUCAACCACGCGUUUGUCGGCCAUUACACACAUAAUUCAAGAUGGCGGCACACAUCGCGUCCCAGUGAAGCCAGCUGCAAUUGUCCAUUGUGGGACUUUAAGAAGCAUUGUCUGUAAGUUCGUUUAUGUACUUAUAAUAUUGGCAAUGCUGUCAUAAUGUUAGAAUGACCGUUAUAAUGAUGUAAAUGCCUUUAUAAUGCUGUUAAAAUUGUUAUGAUAAAUUCGAGGCCUAGUUAACAACGAAGCCUGCAACUUUCUUUAUUGUGAAUGUUACUUGUAAUUUAAUGAGUCGAGUCAAACUUGUACCCAAGUAACUUUAUUGCGAUCUGGAGAGCAAGGAUGACGAAAUGUCUAAUUCAUAGUGCAGUGUUAUGUGUAGUACUGUACAUCUGGGGUGCAGUGUGAUGAUAACACGGUGUGCCUUUAUGUAACACAGUAGCUUAUGCUCUUGUAUAGCUAUUCAGUGGUAAUGUAGGUGCCUGGUCCAUCCAGGAUCUAUUGAAAAACAUGUUAUCUAAGACAAUGUUAUGCUGUGGUGUUCAUUUAUUGUGUUGGUGUUUCCGGGUACUAAAAGAUGCUGUAUCUGUGCUGUUUUCUUACCAGUUUUACCUCGUUAAAUUCAAUAAAUGACGUUUGAAGUCGGACGUUCA